This is a small nuclear RNA of Sphenodon punctatus (tuatara), 139 nucleotides long. Its record names the gene U4. It matches the Rfam family "U4 spliceosomal RNA". From Rfam's summary of the family: U4 small nuclear RNA (U4 snRNA) is a component of the major U2-dependent spliceosome. The structure of U4 snRNA from yeast and human has been reported. The record is from Ensembl. Lineage: Eukaryota; Metazoa; Chordata; Lepidosauria; Sphenodontia; Sphenodontidae.
AGCUUUGCGCAGUGGCAGUAUCGUAGCCCAUGAGGUUUAACCGAGGCGCGAUUAUUGCUAGUUGAAAACUUUACCCAAUACCCCGCUGCACUGGCUCGCAAGAGUCGGUGUUCGCAAUUUUUGUCAGUCUCUACGGAGG